GGUCGGACGGUAUAUUUGAUCGAUAAAUCCGCGGUCACACUGAUCUCAAUUGCGGAACAUAAGGCCGUUUUGAAGCCCAACUGUGGCCCACAACUCCGCCCUGCCUCAGCCAGACCACCAGAUCGGCCAGGUGGAUCUUAGCCGACCAGAUCUUAGCCCGAAUCUGAAGAAAACCAAGCUGGAUGAGGCCUCGACGGCGGGGUUGAUGCAAGCACAUAAACGGAUCAGGGCGUGGUGUCUAUGAUGAGCUUCCAUCUGCGUCGCAAAAAGGGACUGGAACAAACCCUGGCGGCCAAGCUUACACCAAAGGCGUACGUCAAGGAGACUCAUGCCGUGCCCGGGCUGCCGGAGCUGCUGGAUCCUGCAUUCCCAACAAGACACGUCUGGACAGAUUAUGCGCCACUACGGCAGUGCAAGGGCAUCCGCCAGUUGCAGGCUUUGUACGUGUCCCACCUGCACGCGGAUCAUCACAUUGGAUUGAUUGGACUGCUGAAGGAGCGCAGAUAGCUGGCCCCGAAGGAAACUCGCUGCUCUUACUUGCGCCGCGGCAGAUCGAGCCAUGGAUGGAGUUCUAACAAGGAUAGCUCUUGGCGAGACUCCUGACUGGAGAGGCAGUGGCACCAUUGGGCAUAACUGCCGCCACUGCCAAGUCACCAGUAGGAACUGCCAAGCCGCCAGUGCGAACAGCUGCUUAAAAUCUUGCGAGACGCUUGGCGAUGCUGUGGAUGAUCGAGUUCAGCCCAACAAUCAACCUUUGCGGAAUGAGAGGAGCAGCAGCAAGGCAAGAAGGAUGCCGAUCAGGAUUUUUACUAAAACCAGGAGAGUUCGGCUAACUCGUCGCAGUCCUCGGUGGGCAUUGAUGACUAUUGGGAUGAAGCUCUGGUUGGCGACUAUGGAAGCACUCAGAAUGAUGACAGCGAUGACUUGGACGGGCACAACAACUAGCCACCUAUCGAUGGGCAGCAAGGAAAAGAACCCGGCCGCAACGAGUUGCGUUACUAUUGGCGAUCAUGAGGUCAUGGACUGCAAAGAACAAUUCGACAAGCAGCAACAUUACUUGGGCCGAGCAGGGCAGUAAAUGUAAAAGUUGUACAGCACUAUCUUUAAAGCGUGCUCCGGCGGUCUUAAGCCUUCUGCACCAUGUUUUACAUCAUCGGUUUCGACCGGGAGCGCAGACAGCUGGCCCCGAAGGAAACUCGCUGCUCUUACUUGCGCCGCGGCAGAUCGAGCCAUGGAUGGAGUUCUAACACGGAUAGCUCUUGGCGAGACUCCUGACUGCAGAGGCAGUGGCACCAUUGGGCGUAACUGCCGCCACUGCCAAGUCACCAGUAGGAACUGCGAAGCCGCCAGUACGAACAGCUGCUUAAAAUCUUGCGAGACGCUUGGCGAUGCUGUGGAUGAUCAAGUUCAGCCCAACAAUCAACAGUUGCGGAAUGAGAGGAGCAGCAACAGGACAAGAAGGAUGCCGAUCAGGAUUUCUACUAAAACCAGGACAGUUCGGCUAACUCGUCGCAGUCCUCGGUGGGCAUUGAUGACUAUUGGGAUGAAGCUCUGGUCGGCGACUAUGGAAGCACUCAGAAUGAUGACAGCGAUGACUUGGACGGGCACAACAACUAGCCACCUAUCGAUGGGCAGCAAGGAGAAGAACCCGGCCGCAACGAGUUGCGUUACUAUUGGCGAUCAUGAGGUCAUGGACUGCAAAGAACAAUUCGACAAGCAGCAACAUUACUUGGGCCGAGCAGGGCAGUAAAUGUGAAAGUUGUACAGCACUAUCUUAAAAGCGUGCUCCGGCGGUCUUAAGCCUUCUGCACCAUGUUUUACAUCAUCGGUUUCGACCGGAUCCAGUGGCCUAAAAAGUGCUAUAGAGCGAUCCUCUCUUACCCCACCAGGAGGUCACCCCCUCCGGUGGCCAUGAAUACCUUUUGCAUGACCGCGAAUACCGAAUUACCCACCAUCGUUUAACUGGGGCUUCACACUUCAGGUCCUCCGGUUUAGCUGAACGAGUGGGCGCUCGAUGGCGGCUGUCCACUCCAGGCGCCUACCGGCUGACAUCGCGAGCUCCCCACCGGCUCUUGGGACAUGACUUACAUCGCGCGAGCUGUGGCCUCUAGCCUGGACGACCUUUGGGUCCUCUCGGGAUGUGUAAGGGAUGUGCUCCUGGCUGGACUGUGGCAGGCACUGUCUGUCCUCCUGCGGGCCAAAGCCAUGAUGCCACUACUGUGUCGCUGAAUCGACAAUGUGGCGUCCCGUCCGCUGCAGCAGGGACCACUGAUCGACUUCAGAAUUGUGGGUUCACGCCCACGGUAAUCAAACGCUGGUCUUCAGCCUCGAGGCGCAGGGCUUAUGUACCAUAUCCAAGCAUUGCCGAAUCGUAUCCCAGCAGGACAAAAGCGCACCCCUUGGAAGAGCCCAAAUCUAACAAGCCGACGUCACAUUUCGACCUGGCCAUUGAAAACUAUCUCAAGGACUUUGGCUAUGGCAACCAAGGGAGGGAUACGCGGACUACCAGACUAUAGAUAGAUCUCGUUGUUAAUAGGUUUAAGGAUACACACGUCUGUACAUUUAGAUAGUAGAUAUAAAUAUUUCCAAAUUGUUAAUUUCUUUAUAGUAAGUUAACGUUAUUAUGAAUAAAACUAUUGAAAAAUUA
This 2647-nucleotide small RNA is filed under the name Drosophila pseudoobscura pseudoobscura. RNAcentral describes it as "GA25895". The record is from RNAcentral. Lineage: Eukaryota; Metazoa; Arthropoda; Insecta; Diptera; Drosophilidae.